UACGUAGGACCCAAGCGUUGUCCGGAUUUACUGGGUGUAAAGGGAGCGCAGGCGGAUUAUUAAGUCGAUUGUGAAAUCUUGCGGCUCAACCGCAAAACAGCAGUCGAUACUGAUGAUCUUGAGUGUGGAAGAGAGUGGCGGAAUUCAUGGUGUAGCAGUGAAAUGCGUAGAUAUCAUGAAGAACACCGGUUGCGAAGGCGGCCACUUAGUCCAUUACUGACGCUCAUGCUCGAAAGCGUGGGGAUCAAACAGG
Molecule: ribosomal RNA, 253 nt
Filed under: uncultured bacterium
Lineage: Bacteria
Description: partial 16S ribosomal RNA
Rfam family: Bacterial small subunit ribosomal RNA
Source: RNAcentral